Molecule: ribosomal RNA, 248 nt
Filed under: uncultured bacterium
Lineage: Bacteria
Description: partial 16S ribosomal RNA
Rfam family: Bacterial small subunit ribosomal RNA
Source: RNAcentral
CACGCUGUAAACGUUGAUAACUUGCUGUUGGUACAUUAUAGAGAUGUGUCAGUGGCUAAGGGAAACCGAUAAGUUAUCCACCUGGGGAGUACGUUCGCAAGGAUGAAACUCAAAGGAAUUGACGGGGGCCCGCACAAGCGGUGGAGCAUGUGGUUUAAUUCGAUGGUACGCGAGGAACCUUACCUGGACUAGAAUGUGAAGGGAGUGAUCAGAGAUGGUUACGCCAGUGAUGGCCUGAAACAAGGUGC